GGAAACAUUGUGCAUAUUUAUCUUGCUCCCGUAUGCGAAAUUGGUGAUACAUUUCCUGUAUGUCGCCUACUACGGCAACGUAUCUCUGGCGAAAACGACCCAUCACAGUAGGCAAUGGUGUCAGCAAAUCGGGACCUUUGAGUAGCAUACUAUUCAAACUGACACCAUCCACAGAAGCACUGGCAUCCCAAAUCAGACGCACUUUAGACGGUUUUUUUGGAUUCACAACCACUCCCAAGGGUAGAAACCAAGUUCGCAUAUGGUCAAAUUUCUUCAGUUCUGCUGCGGAAGCUUUGUGCGCACAUUGCAGUCUUCGAAAUGCCAUCUCAUAACUUCUAGGAAAUUUGAACACGUCGUGGCGCCACAGAAGUCCCGUCUCAUAUCGGUUUGAAAGUCGUUUCGUAGUAGAUUCCAAAAUUAUUUUUGCUCGCUUUUCAUCUUCCGAUUCCAACGGAAAAGCUCCAACACCGAGUGUGUCUACCGAAAAAUGCAAUUUGACUAGCUCGUGUACUCCACCGCCAAAUAUCGACCAUCCAAGGCGGGAUUUAACGGCAACUGGCUCACCAAUUUUUCCUUCUCUAGUUCUGGAAGAAACCAGGAGAUGGGCAUUGUUCGACCCAAUUAAGACUCGCGGAAUGGCGUUUGUGUAAUCUGUCAUUGGUAUUCCAUUCAAAUGAGUAAAUUGUUUUCCCAAU
Molecule: long non-coding RNA, 695 nt
Organism: Malaya genurostris
Lineage: Eukaryota; Metazoa; Arthropoda; Insecta; Diptera; Culicidae
Exons: 3
Source: RefSeq, a predicted model, not a curated record